This 497-nucleotide ribosomal RNA is filed under the name uncultured bacterium. RNAcentral's name for it is "partial 16S ribosomal RNA". It matches the Rfam family "Bacterial small subunit ribosomal RNA", at positions 28 to 507 of the family's 1533-position model. The record is from RNAcentral.
GAUGAACGCUGGCGGCGUGCCUAAUACAUGCAAGUCGAGCGAACAGACGAGGAGCUUGCUCCUCUGACGUUAGCGGCGGACGGGUGAGUAACACGUGGAUAACCUACCUAUAAGACUGGGAUAACUUCGGGAAACCGGAGCUAAUACCGGAUAAUAUAUUGAACCGCAUGGUUCAAUAGUGAAAGACGGUUUUGCUGUCACUUAUAGAUGGAUCCGCGCCGCAUUAGCUAGUUGGUAAGGUAACGGCUUACCAAGGCGACGAUGCGUAGCCGACCUGAGAGGGUGAUCGGCCACACUGGAACUGAGACACGGUCCAGACUCCUCCGGGAGGCAGCAGUAGGGAAUCUUCCGCAAUGGGCGAAAGCUUGACGGAGCAACGCCGCGUGAGUGAUGAAGGUCUUCGGAUCGUAAAACUCUGUUAUUAGGGAAGAACAAAUGUGUAAGUAACUAUGCACGUCUUGACGGUACCUAAUCAGAAAGCCACGGCUAACUACGUG